Molecule: long non-coding RNA, 541 nt
Organism: Leopardus geoffroyi (Geoffroy's cat)
Lineage: Eukaryota; Metazoa; Chordata; Mammalia; Carnivora; Felidae
Exons: 3
Source: RefSeq, a predicted model, not a curated record
CCGUGUCACAUGACGCUGAGGGCAAGCAGCUGUGCCCAGCUCCAGAGCUGGGCCUCCAGACACCAGCUGUGCCCCCCUCUGUGUGUUUCUUCCCCCUUCCCACUAGCUGGGACCCGGGUGUGCAGGCGAUCCUGCUUCAACCAUACAAGGACAAACACGGCACAAGAUGGAAAGAUUCCGUGGUCCAGAGAAUCCUUACCUUAAGCACCUUUUUUUCUUAAGAAGUUCUGGAGGAAAUGCUGAACGGUCCGGCUGCGGUCACAGGCUCACCCCUGAACCACUUACUAUGAACCCCAGAAGAAAGGAGGUUGGAAUAAAUCCGUAAAAUCAGUAGCUGCUCCAAUCCACUCAGGAACGCAGCCAACAUCACCAGGAGUGAAGACAGCGCUGAUGAGGGGAUGAGAAGGGUUUCCCUUUGAGCACGGAGUCCUUCCAGAGACCGACCAAAGAGGGGGGAGAGUCUGGAUGUUGGAACACAAAUCUCUAACACAGGCACUCACACGUACAGCAGGAAGAAACAUUUGGUUCUCCGUCACCUGAA